UGAUUCAGAACUGUCACACUGAGAAGCAGCCACGAGGUCCUUCCGGAGGUGCCUGGGCAAACAAACUCAGGCACGCUCAGAUAAUGGGAUUACUGUGUCGUGCUCAAAUAAACGAUAAAAAGGGAGCUAUUGAGGCAUGGAAACACAGGAGGGAGACUUGGUGUGGACUGCUAAGCGAGAGAAGCCAGUCUGAAAAGGCUACGCACGGUACGCAGACCCACUGGGUGACCUUCAGGAAAAGUUGAUCAGAAAUGCAGGGGGGUGGAAAAAGAUGGAUGACCCUACAGGAAAACACUCAGACCAUUCUAGAAGGUGGGGCCUUCCUGGCCUUCUGCAAGAAAACCAUCCCAAGAGCAACAAAAAAGUUUUUUAAAAAAGAAAUCUAGCCCCCAAGGUAAUGUUGGAGGCGGGGCAUCUGAGAGGAAUUCAGGUCCUGAGGAUGCAGCCUCAUGAAAGGGAUCAGUGCUCUUCUAAGACGCCUGGGAGCUAGCUCACCCCUUCCUUUUGCCACGUGAGGCUACAGCAACAAGAAUUCCAUAGCCUACAACCCGGAAGAGCAUCCUCACCCAAACCUGACUGUGCUGGCGCCGUAAACUUGGACUUCCAGCCUCCAGGACCGUGAGAAAUGCAUUUCAGUUGUUAAUAACAAGCCAUCCAGUACUUUGUUGUUGCAGCCUAAGCUGAUGAAGAUGACAUAUGAUACUGAUUUCAGAAAAUAAUUUGGUCCAUGUGUUUAUUUUACAAUAAAGAAACCA
Molecule: long non-coding RNA, 755 nt
Organism: Phyllostomus discolor (pale spear-nosed bat)
Lineage: Eukaryota; Metazoa; Chordata; Mammalia; Chiroptera; Phyllostomidae
Exons: 3
Source: RefSeq, a predicted model, not a curated record